This 3269-nucleotide long non-coding RNA is filed under the name Brassica napus (rape). Its description in RNAcentral is "long non-coding RNA (BNAP_LNC015174)". Lineage: Eukaryota; Viridiplantae; Streptophyta; Magnoliopsida; Brassicales; Brassicaceae. The record is from RNAcentral.
GGAGUACAAAAUAACAAAAAAAAGACAUAGCUAAUUAAUUGGUAACCAAGAUAAGGGUUAUGCUGCAUCGUUCCCAAACCGUUUGAUGAGUUUUGGGGCGCAAACCCAGCAAGCUACAAUGGCUGAGAUGAUGAGUAUGAGAUUUAAGAGUCUAGGAUGUGUGUGUGAAGAACAAGCCUCUUAGGGCAGAAUAGAGUCUUGAAAUGGUGAAGAAAGAAUCUGAUGAAACUAGUAUGAACUUAGAUCAGAAACAAAGAGACUUUGAGAGAUUAAGAGAUUAGAGACUAAGAAAGGGAGAGAUUAAGGGAAUCUGAUCAAGAACACACUUUUAUAAUUAUGAAGGAGAUGGGAAAACCCCCAUACUCUCUUAAGAGCUUUAAUUUUCGUCCAUACACAUGCUUUUAUAAGCUUUACACUUUGAAACAUUAGAAACCCUUAAUCUAAUGGCUAGAAAUGACUUGUGAAAUGGAUGGCUUGGAUGUAGUCUUGUUUUGGUCUUUGCAAUCUUGGUGAUGGCUUCUGAUUGGUUAAGGAAGGCUGGCUGGUGAUUGGUCCAUUCAAACUGGUCAAGGCAAGGGCUGGCUUCUGAUUGGUUCCUCAAAGGCUCCCAUGAACCUUCCCACUUCUUUAGCUAGAUACAUGGUCCCCUUUGCUUUCCCUUUACACCUCUUGACAGCCUGUCCUUGUUGACCACGUCCUCUCUCUUCCUUAUCCACAAACAGUCUGAUUACAAUCAGACAAGGUCGCCUAAUCGCUCUCUAAACCGACGCCCUAAGUUUGCACAACUUCUGGUCGAUCCUGGGUGAAGUACGGUUGAUGGUACGGACCGCCUGUCCGUACCUCGCCCUAUUUUUGCACAUCUCACCCAAACAUCUCCAAUGGUCAGACCUGACUCGGUUUGGGUCGCCCUAAGAUUGCCCGGCCCGUCCGGUUUUGUACCGUCCGUACCGUCUGAUCAUCUGGUCGCCCUAUCUUUGCACCAUCACCCAUCUGUCUCCAAAUGGUGUCUAAGUCCCUCCUGGACUCAAACCCUAUCUUUGCACAGCCUUCAUGACACUUCUAGACUUCUCUAAACCUUCAUGAAGCCUUGAUAGACAAUCUCUUAAGAUCUUGUCCCUAUUCUUGCUCAAGACCCAAACUCAACCCAACUCCUCCUUUGGCUCCAUUUCUUUCUUCAAGUCAACACUCCCCCUCAAGCUUGACUUUAGCUGAUCCUAAGUCAAGCUUGGAACCUUGAAGAACUUCCUCAUUAAAAACCUCACCAAGGAAAACCCUUUGGGACAAAACCUUGAUGAGGGAAAAAGAGUAAAGUCUCCAAGGCCUAGGGAUUGGCCAGUGAGUCUUUGUGCCUUACCAACAAUGUAAGGGACACAAAGACUCUGGAUCAUGGCCUCUUCAUUCUUCCCACGCCUUGUACUCUCCUUACUGCCUGAUCUUGGUCUCUCCCCCUUUCACCUAACCUCUUGUUAGGUUGAAGUGCUCGGACACACCAGAUCAGCCUCUUCUUGGAGAUACAACACUCUUGCUGAGUCUUGGCUGCUUCUUCUUCUUCUAGAGUCGCCACCUUGUUGCUGGAACUACAUGAGGAUGCUUCAGCCACUCUCCAAUCACCUCAACACUUGAAAUUAAUUUAUAAAGGUUUCAAUGUGUGUUGUUUUCAUCAUCGUUCACUUUCUAAAUACCACUGUUACACGUUUUCCCAAGUAUGCUUAUAAAAAAAUUCCUAAUGGAUACUGUUAAAUAGAAGAUUAAAUAUUAUUAUCUAUGUUUUUAAUAUAAAUAGUUUUAAAAUUAUGCACAUAGAUUAAAAAAUCAUUAAUUUUUAUAUUUUCUAAACAAGAACAUCUUUAAUUACCUAACCACAAAUCAACCAAUAAUAAAAUAGAAAAUAUAUUAUCAUUGGUCAUAUAACAUUAAUUGUUGAUAAAUUUUACAUAGAAAACCGAAAACGUCAUAUAAUUUGGAACAUCAAAAUUUUUCUAAAACGACUUAUAUUAAGAAACGGAGGGAGUACAAAAUAACAAAAAAAAGACAUAGCUAAUUAAUUGGUAACCAAGAUAAGGGUUAUGCUGCAUCGUUCCCAAACCGUUUGAUGAGUUUUGGGGCGCAAACCCAGCAAGCUACAAUGGCUGAGAUGAUGAGUAUGAGAUUUAAGAGUCUAGGAUGUGUGUGUGAAGAACAAGCCUCUUAGGGCAGAAUAGAGUCUUGAAAUGGUGAAGAAAGAAUCUGAUGAACUAGUAUGAACUUAGAUCAGAAACAAAGAGACUUUGAGAGAUUAAGAGAUUAGAGACUAAGAAAGGGAGAGAUUAAGAGAAUCUGAUCAAGAACAUACUUUAUAAUAUGAAGGAGAUGGGGAAAUCCCCCAUACUCUCUUAAGAGCUUUAAUUUUCGUCCAUACACAUGCUUUUAUAAGCUUUACACUUUGAAACAUUAGAAACCCUUAAUCUAAUGGCUAGAAAUGACUUGUGAAAUGGAUGGCUUGGAUGUAGUCUUGUUUUGGUCUUUGCAAUCUUGGUGAUGGCUUCUGAUUGGUUAAGGAAGGCUGGCUGGUGAUUGGUCCAUUCAAACUGGUCAAGGCAAGGGCUGGCUUCUGAUUGGUUCCUCAAAGGCUCCCAUGAACCUUCCCACUUCUUUAGCUAGAUACAUGGUCCCCUUUGCUUUCCCUUUACACCUCUUGAUAGCCUGUCCUUGUUGACCACGUCCUCUCUCUUCCUUAUCCACAAACAGUCUGAUUACAAUCAGACAAGGUCGCCUAAUCGCUCUCUAAACCGACGCCCUAAGUUUGCACAACUUCUGGUCGAUCCUGGGUGAAGUACGGUUGAUGGUACGGACCGCCUGUCCGUACCGCGCCCUAAGUUUGCACAUCUCACCCAAACAUCUCCAAUGGUUGAGUGUGAUCAGGUUCUGGGUCGCCCUAAGUUUGCACGGUUUGUCCGUACCGUCAGUACCGUCUGAACCUCGGGACGCCCUAUCUUUGCACCAUCACCCAACUAUCUCCAAAUGGUGUCGAAGUCCCUCCUGGACUCAAACCCUAUCUUUGCACAGCCUUCAUGACACUUCUAGACUUCUCUAAACCUUCAUGAAGCCUUGAUAGACAAUCUCUUAAGAUCUUGUCUCUAUUCUUGCUCAAGACCCAAACUCAACCCAACUCCUCCUUUGUUUCCAUUUCUUUCUUCAAGUCAACAAUGAGGAGCGCCACAAAGACGAUGGUUAGGAUGAAACCUGUUUCCAUUUUUUCUUGAUCAAACCACCAAGCCUUUGGGUCUUUC